CCAAGGAGUCUACCGUGUGCGCGAGUCACGGGGCGUCUCAAACCCCAAGGCGAAAUGAAAGUGAAGGCGGUGCCGAGGAGGUUGGAGCAAUCCUUCUCCUUCGAGCUCGUCUGGGGCAGGAUCCCACAACGUUUGCUUGUGGGCACACUGCCGGCCCGUCUCAGCUGCAGCAGCCGACAGCGAAGGCGGAGCAAGAGCGCACACUGUGAUACCCGAAAGAUGGUUAACCAUGCCCGAGUCGGAUGAAGCCGGGGGAAACCCUGGUGGAGUUCCGUAGCG
Molecule: ribosomal RNA, 279 nt
Filed under: Poromya illevis
Lineage: Eukaryota; Metazoa; Mollusca; Bivalvia; Poromyidae
Description: partial 28S ribosomal RNA
Rfam family: Eukaryotic large subunit ribosomal RNA
Source: RNAcentral